RNAcentral lists this long non-coding RNA (215 nucleotides) under Mytilus galloprovincialis (Mediterranean mussel). Lineage: Eukaryota; Metazoa; Mollusca; Bivalvia; Mytilida; Mytilidae. The record is from RNAcentral.
AAAAAAAAAAAUGCACAAAAUAAAAAGAAAUAGAUACUCUUCAUCGUCCUUUAUAAUAGUUCGAUAAGUUGGCUCGUCCUGUAGUUAUUCCUGCAGCCAGAAUUGCACGUGUUAGGUAGGAACAUCUAUAUUAAAAAAAUCGUCCAUAUGCUAGGAAGGAAUAUCAGGCUACAUUUUGUCAAGUACCAGGAGAAGAGUAAAGUAGUAAAUUGCAG